RNAcentral lists this long non-coding RNA (656 nucleotides) under Chinchilla lanigera (long-tailed chinchilla). Its description in RNAcentral is "lncRNA (ENSCLAG00000028718.1)". Lineage: Eukaryota; Metazoa; Chordata; Mammalia; Rodentia; Chinchillidae. The record is from RNAcentral.
AUGAGAGGUGAUGGUGACCCGCCACUACUGUACGCAGGCAGGGCCGGAAAGGUUAAGCAGUCACUCCGCUACUUCGAAACAGCCCCGACACCGUUUCUAGGGAAGCGACCGGCCGGCGCUCCUACGCUGACGGUCCGCCCGGAACCCAGACCCCGCGCACAAGUUUCCGGGGCCCGGAGAGCCCGGGAACCCAGGACCCCGCAGGCAGCCCGGGGCAGGCAGGAAAGGGCGGGGGCCCAGGGCUCCGCUGGACCCGACGGAGGCCGGGAAGUCACGUGACAGAUACUUACUGAGAAGCCAGUGGAGUCCUCACAACAGAUCAGUUUAGCAUCAGAGCCCCCGCAAUGAGCCCCGUUUUCUGGUUGAGGAAACUGCGCUUGAGAGAGGCCCAAGGUCACCCAUCUGACAUAUAUAUUUUGAAUCCAGGUCAUGAGGUAAGGUGCAUCUCAUUUCAAACUCCAUUCUUUUAAUUGUUACGGUUGAUUGUUUCCCAAAAUGUGGGUCUGCUUUAUGCCAGGAGGAUUAAAAAAUAACGUGGAAGCUUAAUGCUUUUGACGCAUAGUAAAUGACUUAUUAUGUUCCCUAGUGGGACCCUUGUUUAUGUGAUUCGUUGAGGGAAUGUCCUCGGGAAAAGGACACACGAGAGAAAGCUACCC